GACUCUCCAGUCCUCAGUCACCUUGGAGAAAGAAGUGUGGAUCCUCAGAUUCCAUCUUUUCCAACUCCAAGGAGGGGGCUCCCUGCCUGAGAGCCUGCGGCGGGUCCAGGAGCUGACAGGCCGCUCUGUGGAGUUUGAGGAGGUGGACAUUUUGGACCAGGGAGCCCUACAGCGUCUCUUCAAAAAGCUUUAUGGCAGUCAUCCACUUUGCGGGGCUCAAGGCCGUGGGCGAGUCGGUGCAGAAGCCUCUGGAUUAUUACAGAGUUAACCUGACCGGGACCAUCCAGCUUCUGGAGAUCAUGAAGGCCCACGGGGUGAAGAACCUGGUGUUCAGCAGCUCAGCCACUGUGUACGGGAACCCCCAGUACCUGCCCCUGGACGAGGCCCACCCCACGGGUGGUUGUACCAACCCUUAUGGCAAGUCCAAGUUCUUCAUCGAGGAAAUGAUCCGGGACCUGUGCCAGGCAGACAAGACUUGGAACGCAGUGCUGCUGCGCUAUUUCAACCCCACAGGUGCCCAUGCCUCUGGCUGCAUCGGCGAGGAUCC
RNAcentral lists this small RNA (547 nucleotides) under Pongo abelii (Sumatran orangutan). RNAcentral's name for it is "processed transcript". Lineage: Eukaryota; Metazoa; Chordata; Mammalia; Primates; Hominidae. The record is from RNAcentral.